This 253-nucleotide ribosomal RNA is filed under the name uncultured bacterium. Its description in RNAcentral is "partial 16S ribosomal RNA". It matches the Rfam family "Bacterial small subunit ribosomal RNA", at positions 524 to 776 of the family's 1533-position model. The record is from RNAcentral.
UACAGAGGGCGCAAGCGUUGUUCGGAUUCAUUGGGCGUAAAGGGUGUGUAGGUGGCGCGCUAAGUCUGAUGUGAAAGCCCGGGGCUCACCCCCGGAAGGGCAUUGGAAACUGGCGGACUCGAGUCCCGGAGAGGAGGGUGGAAUUCCCGGUGUAGCGGUGAAAUGCGUAGAGAUCCGGAGGAACACCAGUGGCGAAGGCGGCACGCUGGGCCGUACCUGACACUAAGACGCGACAGCGUGGGGAGCAAACAGG